ACGGGAGGCAGCAGUGGGGGAUAUUGCACAAUGGGGGAAACCCUGAUGCAGCAAUGCCGCGUGAGGGAAGAAGGUCUUCGGAUUGUAAACCUCUGUCAACAGGGACGAAAAUGACGGUACCUGUGAAGGAAGCUCCGGCUAACUACGUGCCAGCAGCCGCGGUAAUACGUAGGGAGCAAGCGUUAUCCGGAAUUACUGGGUGUAAAGGGAGUGUAGGCGGGACUGUAAGUCAGAUGUGAAAUAUGCCGGCUCAACUGGCAGACUGCAUUUGAAACUGCGGUUCUUGAGUGAAGUAGAGGUAAGCGGAAUUCCUAGUGUAGCGGUGAAAUGCGUAGAUAUUAGGAGGAACACCAGUGGCGAAGGCGGCUUACUGGACGGUAACUGACGUUGAGGCUCGAAAGCGUGGGGAGCAAACAGGAUUAGAUACCCUGGUA
RNAcentral lists this ribosomal RNA (434 nucleotides) under uncultured Ruminococcus sp. RNAcentral describes it as "bacterial SSU rRNA". It matches the Rfam family "Bacterial small subunit ribosomal RNA", at positions 341 to 792 of the family's 1533-position model. Lineage: Bacteria; Bacillati; Bacillota; Clostridia; Eubacteriales; Oscillospiraceae. The record is from RNAcentral.